Molecule: ribosomal RNA, 226 nt
Filed under: uncultured bacterium
Lineage: Bacteria
Description: partial 16S ribosomal RNA
Rfam family: Bacterial small subunit ribosomal RNA
Source: RNAcentral
UACGAAGGGGGCGAGCGUUGUUCGGAAUCACUGGGCGUAAAGGGCGCGUAGGCGGCCCUUCUUGUCGCGUGUGAAAGCCCCGGGCUCAACCUGGGAACGGCGCGCGAGACGGGGGGGCUGGAGUUCGGGAGAGGAGCGUGGAAUUCCCAGUGUAGAGGUGAAAUUCGUAGAUAUUGGGAAGAACACCGGUGGCGAAGGCGGCGUCUCUGGGACCGGGUGACGUGAG